Molecule: long non-coding RNA, 523 nt
Organism: Magnolia sinica
Lineage: Eukaryota; Viridiplantae; Streptophyta; Magnoliopsida; Magnoliales; Magnoliaceae
Exons: 3
Source: RefSeq, a predicted model, not a curated record
CUCAUGCUCUGAACUGAUUUACAAAGAGGAAGAUGUUUUCCGUGCGUGUUCUCUUCGUUUGGGUUCUUGCACUGCAUCUAUGUGGAUCGUUGGGAUGUGGAGCCCCUCUGCUUGCUCAAGAUGAAGUGGAGGCUCUUAAUGAAAUUGCAACGACACUCAACAAACCCGACUGGAAUUUCAGCGUGGAUCCCUGCAGCGGAGAAUCCAACUGGUUUACACAUAAGACCAACACGGGUAGAAAUAGCUCGGUCGGGUGUAACUGUACCAUAAUCUGCCAUGUCCAGUUUAUGUACGCUUCCUAAUCUUGCCUGCACUGUUUUAUUUAUUAUUAUUAUUAUUUUUUUUUAAUUAAUGCUUUUACCUUAUCAGUGAGACUUACCUCAUUAGCCCGGGUUUACCUGAGCAUGUCACAGUUCAUGUCCAAGAAAAUAGGUGUCACCAGCUGCGUAGUGUGGUUAGAGAUUGUAUGGACUUUUCUGACUUAUUUCAAUUGGGACAUAGGAUAAUGAGAAAUUCUACAGUC